UAGCCGUAAACGAUACUCGCUAGGUGUCGGCCACGGUGCGACCGUUGUCGGUGCCGUAGGGAAGCCGUGAAGCGAGCCACCUGGGAAGUACGGCCGCAAGGCUGAAACUUAAAGGAAUUGGCGGGGGAGCACCACAACGGGUGGAGCUUGCGGUUUAAUUGGAUUCAACGCCGGAAAUCUUACCGGGACCGACAGCAACAUGAAGGCCAGGCUGAAGACUUUGCCGAAUUAGCUGAGAGGAGGUGCAUGG
RNAcentral lists this ribosomal RNA (250 nucleotides) under uncultured archaeon. RNAcentral describes it as "partial 16S ribosomal RNA". It matches the Rfam family "Archaeal small subunit ribosomal RNA", at positions 748 to 997 of the family's 1478-position model. The record is from RNAcentral.